This is a non-coding RNA of Pelobates cultripes (western spadefoot toad), 328 nucleotides long. Lineage: Eukaryota; Metazoa; Chordata; Amphibia; Anura; Pelobatidae. The record is from the annotation of a GenBank genome assembly.
GGCCAAUAUCAGUGCUGUAUGCUUGUGCAUGCGCACGAUUACUACACAAAUCUCUAUGGAGAAUCCCGCAUGUCCGCAGGAGCCUCCAUAUUAUCUGGAGAUGGCCGGGGGAAGUGACAAAACAUGACGUUAGGAACUCUGCCUUUUGCCAAGCAGAGGAUUUACCAUAAGACAGAGUAGUACCUAAUUUGACUUAAAGGGACACUCUAGUCACCAGAUCAACUACAGCUUAUUGAAUUUGUUCUGGCGAGUAGAAUCAUUACCUCCAGGCUUUUUGCUGUAAGCACUGUCUUUUCAGAGAAACUGCAGUGUUUACACUACAGCCUAG